Molecule: long non-coding RNA, 499 nt
Filed under: Oryzias sinensis (Chinese medaka)
Lineage: Eukaryota; Metazoa; Chordata; Actinopteri; Beloniformes; Adrianichthyidae
Description: lncRNA (ENSOSIG00000004798.1)
Source: RNAcentral
CCAAAUACUCCAAAGUAAUAUCAUAUAAUCAUGCCGUUUCUUCCACUUCUUAAACUGUUAUAGAUAGGAAAAAGGAUUCUUGUAAUUUUUAAAUCAAGUUCCUGCUUGUUGUUUUGUUUAGAUGGCGAUGCGCGGCCAAACGGGUCCCAUGGGAUUGACCGGAAGACCCGGACCUCUGGGUCCUCCAGGUGCUCCAGGUCUGAAGGGAGAGUCAGGGGAGGGGGGCCCUCAGGUGCCACUUUUUUAAAAAUCUUUUUAUAACCAUAAAUAUUCUUUACGUGAAAUUUCUGAGCAUUAAAAUCCACAAAAACAACAUCUGCACAUCUGCUUUUCACUUCAGGGACCCCGUGGACCCAUGGGAUCUGCUGGACCCCCUGGAAAGCCUGGCAGAAGGGGCCGUUCUGGAGCAGACGGCGCCAGAGGAAUGCCAGGACAAACCGGACCCAAGGCACGUAGUCGGCCAGUGAUCCUCAGCGCUUCGUGGUCCCUGUGUGUUUGA